UUCCGUAGGUGAACCUGCGGAGGGGUCAUUACAAGUGACCCCGGUCUAACCACCGGGAUGUUCAUAACCCUUUGUUGUCCGACUCUGUUGCCUCCGGGGCGACCCUGCCUUCGGGCGGGGGCUCCGGGUGGACACUUCAAACUCUUGCGUAACUUUGCAGUCUGAGUAAACUUAAUUAAUAAAUUAAAACUUUUAACAACGGAUCUCUUGGUUCUGGCAUCGAUGAAGAACGCAGCGAAAUGCGAUAAGUAAUGUGAAUUGCAGAAUUCAGUGAAUCAUCGAAUCUUUGAACGCACAUUGCGCCCCCUGGUAUUCCGGGGGGCAUGCCUGUUCGAGCGUCAUUUCACCACUCAAGCCUCGCUUGGUAUUGGGCAACGCGGUCCGCCGCGUGCCUCAAAUCGACCGGCUGGGUCUUCUGUCCCCUAAGCGUUGUGGAAACUAUUCGCUAAAGGGUGUUCGGGAGGCUACGCCGUAAAACAACCCCAUUUCUAAGGUUGACCUCGGAUCAGGUAGGGAUACCCGCUGAACUUAAGCAUAUCAAUAAGCGGAGGAA
This 553-nucleotide ribosomal RNA is filed under the name Cladosporium sp. 8506. Its description in RNAcentral is "eukaryotic LSU rRNA". The stretch from base 188 to 341 matches the Rfam family "5.8S ribosomal RNA". Lineage: Eukaryota; Fungi; Ascomycota; Dothideomycetes; Cladosporiales; Cladosporiaceae. The record is from RNAcentral.